ACCCAGUGACGAAUCCCAAAUAGGACGAAAUGUGCAUCCUGGAU
RNAcentral lists this non-coding RNA (44 nucleotides) under Trichobilharzia regenti. The record is from RNAcentral. Lineage: Eukaryota; Metazoa; Platyhelminthes; Trematoda; Strigeidida; Schistosomatidae.